This 102-nucleotide unclassified non-coding RNA is filed under the name Sorangium cellulosum So ce56. The record is from RNAcentral. Lineage: Bacteria; Pseudomonadati; Myxococcota; Polyangiales; Polyangiaceae.
GUGAUCGGCCUCUGCCGAUCCCGGGCGCUCGUUCCAUCCUUGUUCUGCCGCUUGACGGAUGUAUCCUCGCACGCCCUCGCGGUGAGCCGUAGAGGGUUCGCC